Long non-coding RNA from Poecilia latipinna (sailfin molly), 441 nucleotides. RefSeq lists it as uncharacterized. The transcript has 3 exons. NCBI's taxonomy places the organism in Eukaryota, Metazoa, Chordata, Actinopteri, Cyprinodontiformes, Poeciliidae. The record is from RefSeq and is a predicted model, not a curated record.
UCCUACAUCCACGGGCCGCAAGAAGAAUCCAAAACAGCUCAUGUCAAACUGUGGACCAUGUUUUCAGAUAUGUGCAGAUGCAAGCCAGUGUUGAAGCCUUCCUCAUUGCCGUGGAACCAGGACAGCCCUUCCUCCUGCAUGUUGGUGAAAACAAGAGCAGCACCAAAGACACUUCACCAUCAGUGAUCACAAGAUCAUCCAAGGACUUGGUUUAUUACAGUCCCUGUGGCAAGCAGUUUUCUGCAUGGUCAGCAUUGAAGGCCAUAUUGUCUUUGAGAGGGUCCAGCCAACAUUCCAGACAGGACAGCGUUCUCCAUCUUCUUCAUCUUCAGCCUCCAAUGAGGCAGCCAAGACUUUGGAGUUCAUUCAACGGUAAAACCAUUCCUAUAUUUUUUUUACAAUGACAUGGUUUUAAAGUUUUAAAGCAAGUUAUGAUUAACA